UGCCAGCCGCCGCGGUAAUACGAAGGGUGCUAGCGUUGUUCGGAAUUACUGGGCGUAAAGAGCAUGUAGGCGGAUGAAUUAGUCAGAGGUGAAAGCCCCGAGCUCAACUUGGGAACUGCCUUUGAUACUGUUGUUCUUGAGUACAGUUGAGGUAGGCGGAAUGUGUCAUGUAGCGGUGAAAUGCUUAGAUAUGACACAGAACACCGAUUGCGAAGGCAGCUUACUAAACUGUUACUGACGCUGAGGCACGAAAGCGUGGGGAGCGAACAGGAUUAGAUA
Molecule: ribosomal RNA, 279 nt
Filed under: uncultured bacterium
Lineage: Bacteria
Description: partial 16S ribosomal RNA
Rfam family: Bacterial small subunit ribosomal RNA
Source: RNAcentral